Molecule: long non-coding RNA, 689 nt
Organism: Xenia sp. Carnegie-2017
Lineage: Eukaryota; Metazoa; Cnidaria; Anthozoa; Malacalcyonacea; Xeniidae
Exons: 2
Source: RefSeq, a predicted model, not a curated record
CAUUUUUUGACAAAUUUGUCAUAAUGUACUAUGAAAAUCUAUCCAAUACAUCAAGAAGAAAAGUCGAGAAAGGAACCACAGUAAAUGAUUAUUUUAGAUGCAUUAUGGCUACAGCAAAUGCCAGAUUACAUUCCAUGUACCUUAUGCCAAAUAUCUUCCAUGUGGAUGUUCUAUUUUGUAGUAUAUUAUCCCAUGAUUGUUUGCUUAUCUUCUGCAUACAGUUCACAUGGAUUGUAUUUAUGAGCAAAUGUCAUUCUCCAAUGAUACUUAAGUAAUAUAACUAAAUAUUUAUCUUCUAGCUAAUAAACCUUUUUGAAUUUUAUAAAGACUUGUGCUUACUCAAUUUGAACAUAAAACUAAUAGUACUCACGCAAUUUUCAAUCAUAUCAACAAUUGUUUUCUCUUCAUCCGUUUCACCACCUUAAUUAAACAAAUAAUAUUUUAUAGUAGUAUUUCAAUAAUUUAUUUAGCCAAUUUUGAGACUUACUUAGACCUAUUUAUAACUGUUAAAUAUGUAAUGCAAUCAGUUAAAUAUUGAAACUGAUCAUAUACUUACACAGAUUAUGUUUUCUUGCAAUAUAACGUAUAAUCUACAUUGAAUGUUGAGCAUUUCAGAAUAAUUUACACAAAAAAUAUUGUGAAGUAAAUAUUUGUUAAGGGAUCCAUUACUUCAUGUUAUACUUACUGCA